AGGAUAUAUGGGGGCUGGACAAAAAUCAAGCGCACAGAAGGCGGCCAAGUAUGCAGCCAUGCAGAGCUUCCUUGGAGCUGGAGCCUACAGAGGCGCUGGCUGUCAGAGUAAAUAUUGUGGCCGAAGGAGGAAGUGAGAGAGGGGCGGACAGGAUGUGACCUCAUUGCAACAACAGCGGUGCUAGACUGAUUCCAUGAUCCCAGGCUGUACACGUCCUACCUUGAAUUGGAGCCAGAGCUUCAGCACAUCAUGAAGAUGUCAUCAGUUUAGAGCCAUGGUUCUCAUCGUGUUGGCGUCAUGAUUCCUUCAAGACUUGAGGGAUCCUGACAUCCAUGCUGAGAACCACGGGAAUGAAGACUAAACAUUUCUUUUUGGAACAUGUAUGAAGUACUGCUGAUACUAGCCUUAUACCAACUGGGCUUGGAAGCAAUGAUGUGCUGAAGACUCGGCCUACAUUUGACACUGCUGAUGAGGAACAACACACAGUGUGAGAUGAUAAUGUAACAUACAAAACACACUAAAUGUGAGGUGAAAAUAUUACCUACUACAACACCACCAGAGGAGCCUCCAUCCAUGACUGUGUGUAUUUGCUGUCUACUGUGCAUCACUGUACUAGUCUUUAAAUUAUACUGACAACUAAGCUUGUUAUCUAUUUAGUCAAGUGUUACAAUUGUGUAUUAUUUUGUGUUACGCUCUACACAAGUGCAUCGUUUGUUUCCUACAUUGUUGACGAAUGCGUGUUUCAUCACAGCGCUGUGUGUGCACUUUUUUUUCGGGAGAAAAUGAAUCUCAUCUUGCACUCAAGUCGUGACUUCAUCAUGUAGCUGAUUUUUAAUUUACAUAUGUGGCCAAUGAGCAAAACACUUCCUGAUAGUGCUUUUCAA
Molecule: long non-coding RNA, 884 nt
Organism: Dunckerocampus dactyliophorus (ringed pipefish)
Lineage: Eukaryota; Metazoa; Chordata; Actinopteri; Syngnathiformes; Syngnathidae
Exons: 3
Source: RefSeq, a predicted model, not a curated record